This 1458-nucleotide long non-coding RNA is filed under the name Malus domestica (apple). Its description in RNAcentral is "long non-coding RNA (MDOM_LNC003201)". Lineage: Eukaryota; Viridiplantae; Streptophyta; Magnoliopsida; Rosales; Rosaceae. The record is from RNAcentral.
GUUUAUUUAUACUUUCAUUAAAUAUAACAUAAGAUUUUGUGGUAUCCACUUGUGUAAAUAUUUUAAAUUGACGAUUGAAUUCAUUCAUUGUAUUCGUAUAGGGUCAACAAGUGUACUUAUAAAAAAUCAUCAAAAUCGGAGUUAAAAUAACCGUUAAAUCGUGAUUUUUUGUUUUAUAACCGUCGAAAAGUUUUGUCUCUCUUUACUUGAUAUCCGAAUGUUUGUUUUUUUGUGAUUUUUGGCGUAUGCGAUCUCGAAGCAUAUACAAACAAGUUUGAUGGUUUGAUCGUUGAAAUUGGUUUUAUAUAAUUCGUAUCCCAUCAAAACGAUAGAUUCACUAAGACUUAGAGUUUAUUUAUACUUUCAUUAAGUAUAACAUAAGAUUUUGUGGUAUCCACUUGUGUAAAUAAUUUAAAUUGACGAUCGAAUUCAUUCAUUGUAUUCGUAUAGGGUCAACAAGUGCACUUGUAAAAAAUCAUCAAAAUCGAAGUUAAAAUAACCGUUAAAUCGUUAUUUUUUGUUUUAUAACCGUCGAAAAGUUUUGUCUCAUUACUUGAUCCCUGAAUGUUUGUUUUUUGUGAAUUUUGGUGUAUGCGAUCUCGAAGCAUAUACAAACAAGUUUGACGGUUUGAUUGUUGAAAUUAGUUUCAUAGAAUUUGUAUCCCAUCAAAAUGAUAGAUUCACUAACACUUAGAGUUUAUUUAUACUUUCAUUAAGUAUAAAAUAAGAUUUUGUGGUAUCCACUUGUGUAAAUAUUUUAAAUUGAGGAUCGAAUUCAUUCAUUGUAUUCGUAUAGAGUCAACAAGUGUAGUUGUAAAAAAUUAUCAAAAUCGAAGUUAAAAUAACCGUUAAAUCGUGAUUUUUUGUUUUAUAACCGUCGAAAAGUUUUGUCUCAUUACUUGAUCUCUGAAUGUGUUGUUUUUUGUGAUUUUUGGCGUAUGCGAUCUCGAAGCAUAUACAAACAAGAUUGACGAUUGGAUCGUUGAAAUUAGUUUCAUAGAAUUCGUAUCUCAUCAAAACGAUAGAUUCACUAACACUUAGAGUUUAUUUAUACUUUCAUUAAGUAUAACAUAAGAUUUUGUGGCAUCCAAUUGUGUAAAUAUUUUAAAUUGACGAUCAAAUUCAUUCAUUGUAUUCGUAUAGGGUCAACAAGUGUAGUUGUAAAAAAUAAUCAAAAUCGGAGUUAAAAUAACCGUUAAAUCGUGUUUUUUUGUUUUAUAACCGUCGAAAAGUUUUGUCUUAUUACUUGAUCUCUGAAUGUUUGUUUUUUGUGAUUUUUGGCUUAUGCGAUCUUGAAGCAUAUACAAACAAGUUUGACGGUUUGAUCGUUGAAAUUAGUUUCGUGUAUCCCGUCAAGUUCAAUGGUGUGUAUAUAUAUAUAUAUAUUUAUUAUGUAGAUUUAAAUCUAUUUAUUUUGUACGUAUAAUUAUUAUAGUUUUUAGGGGUAUAAAAUUUAAU